GGAGCAGCCAUUCCAUCAUCAUCCAGAAUUUGCAUCCUAUCAGCUUCAGGUCCUUGACGCUGUGGUUUAAUUAUUCUAUCCGAUGUGCCAUUCUCAUACUUCUGACAUAUGGCUGAAUAUUUUUUCAUCACUAUGCAACGCCCAAAACCUCGAUCUAAAGAAGACUUGUUCAUUACUAUUGCAUCCUCAAUGUCAUAGCCACUAUAACUCAUC
Molecule: unclassified non-coding RNA, 213 nt
Filed under: Hevea brasiliensis (rubber tree)
Lineage: Eukaryota; Viridiplantae; Streptophyta; Magnoliopsida; Malpighiales; Euphorbiaceae
Source: RNAcentral